CGAGAGAAGACUAUUCGGAGCGACACGCCCAAGUGUUCAUGAAGAACUCCCUCGCAUAUCUGACAGAAUCUCGGUACAUUGCGAUGGUCCCAGAAAUCCCGCAUGAUCCCUGUCAUCGCCAUUUCUAACCGGUCAAGACUAACGUUUACCCGGAGGAUCGUUAGCUUGCGAGGUAGGAACCGUGCGGCCUCACUGAUGACUUCCGGUGUGCCAGCGCAUCCGGCACGCGAACCUGUUGAUUCUCCAGCAAAGGUCUGACAAAACGGAUCCCAGAGGCAUGGCCAGCAGCACGGAGGAUUACGGGUCGGAAUUGCAGGAGUUGCAGUGGGGUGGCGGUAGCGGGUCGCACUUCCUGCGCAGCGGCUCACACUUCCUGAGAAGCGGCACCGGUGGUUGUUACGAAGCCGAGGAUUUAGAACCAACCAGCAGGCAUCAUGGCGGUCAACACAGGGGUUAUUACAGUCCUCCGGGCACGAGUUACACGAUCGUCGAGAGACCACCGAGCGCCCCUCAUCAUCACUCGUCUCAUACCACCCCUUACAGGCACCGGGGACACACCACCGGGGGUUCUGGUGCCAUUUCACCGGAACAAGUGCUUAGGCUGUUCGGCAACGGAGUGUCGGAGCGUCGCCAAGGAGACAGAAGGACGCCCGCGUCGUCUCCGGCCAGCGUCGCGGCGGUGAGAAGCACGCCAUCGUCGACCUCUCAACAGCAGCAGCAGCAGCAACAAUCGCAACAACCGCAACCGAAUCCUCCAAACCCUCCCACGUCCCCAAGUUCUCAGCCCCUCAGUCUCCAAGAGCUCACCGUAAGGACAAUCACCAUGACGAGAGAUCCCCCGGACUCUCACCAUGGCUUUGGGAUCUGCGUGAAGGGUGGCAAGGACGCAGGUGAGAUCCGAAGUACCUUCAGGCUUCCCCCGUCGCCGUACUUCGCGCCUCAAGAUCGAGGGGUGGGUGUCUACAUUUCGAGGGUGGAGGAAGGUUCGGUGGCCGAGCGUGCUGGACUGAGGCCAGGAGACACCAUCUUGGAGGUGAACGGCACACCCUUCCGGGCGGUGACCCACGAGGAGGCCCUCAAAAUGCUGAAGUCCUGCAGAACCCUGAGUAUGACGGUACGCGGUCCAGCGUUGGAUCCCCGUUGCAGAGGAGGCCACCCUGUGUGGUCCACUUCCGGUCGCCAGCAAUCCUGCAGCUGGAUGGAUCGUCAAGGUCGUCCAGCCUCGCCACCGCCGUUGUACCCUCCGCGGGACUCCAGAUACGGCCCCAGGACGAGAAAGGUCGAGCUCUGCAUCGAACCUGGACAGUCUCUGGGCUUGAUGAUCAGGGGCGGCCUCGAGUACGGUCUCGGAAUCUACGUGACAGGGGUCGACAAAGACAGCGUCGCCGAUCGUGCUGGCCUCCUGGUAGGUGAUCAGAUCAUCGAGGUGAACGGACAGAGCUUCGAGGAGGCGACCCAUGACGAGGCAGUGCAGAUCCUGAAGACCAACAAGAGGAUGACUCUCCUGAUUCGCGACGUCGGAAAGGUUCCACACUCUUGUACCACCAGCCAACCCAUCGUUAUGCCCACGUCCAGGUACCCUGAACACGAUCCGCUGCUUCUGGAGAGCCCUGGAAAUCAUCGACCACCCAGUCCUACUAUCGCCAGCGAUUGGAGACAUCGAGGCGGCGUGCACACGGUCUCCGCCGCAACGGCCGCCAUGGUGGAGGAAAAAGCGAGGGUGGUACUCGCAAGAAGCGAGAGGGCAGCUCUCUCUCAGCUCCUGGCGGAUUACAGAACGCGUCGAAUGACGAUCGAGGAGCUGGUGGUCAGUUUAGGAGAUCUGUUGAACACCCACGAGAAGCUGACUCUUCUGACGGAGCUCAGAGAACUCGUCGACAGCAAAGACAGGGCUGCGUUCGACGAUCUGGUUUAUAGACCUCGUGUUGCUAUGGCAAGGAGAAAAGGCGACCGAGCGCACUCGGAUCUAAUAGUGACGCCGUCGCUGCACGAUCUUCCGAGGGGUGUACCCGGUGGUUGUUGCCGUCCGGGACGACUGGUGGACGUCGAAGGAGAUCCUCUAGGAGUGACAGGACCUCUCCUGCCUCGGGAAAACCAGGAAUAUAGAUCGCCGAGCGAAGACAGCGGUCUCGGGGCCGACAUGCCCAGGACCAGAGUGGGCUGCAGGAGGGCGCAACAGCACCAAGUGACGACCUCCGAUCUCGCCCUCUCCAACGACGACGAGUGUGACAACCAGGACUACGAGGACGAGCUGGAGAACGGCCGCGGACGUAGACACAGUUCGCCAGGUGGUUCCCGCGGCAAUCCCAGAGACUACGGCCAUCAUCAUCUUCAUCCGGACAAUUUGACACCACUACCACUACCACACCACCACCACCACCACCACUCUGUUCGAGCACCACCAACACCCAACUGCUACCAGCCUAUCAGAACUCGCGCACAAGCUCUCGCGGAGCUUCGACAUGCAGGAGGCGCAGCUGCUGGAGGAGGGUGGUUCCGGUGGCGGGCCCGGAACCGCGGGUGCCGGGGGACCUCCACGACGACACCACAGCGCCCAACGAUUGGCGAGGAGCGAGAUGUCCGAGAGAAGGGAAGAGGACGGCGCCCUGGUGGUGCCCGACCAUCAAGGCAACCUGAGGAUCACCGUCAAGAAGACCAAGUCGAUUUUGGGCAUUGCCAUCGAGGGCGGUGCCAACACCAAACAUCCACUGCCCAGGAUUAUCAAUAUUCACGAUAACGGAGCUGCUUACGAAGCCGGUGGCCUCGAGGUUGGUCAAUUGAUUCUAGAAGUUGAUGGUCACAAAGUCGAAGGACUGCAUCAUCA
RNAcentral lists this unclassified non-coding RNA (2824 nucleotides) under Megachile rotundata (alfalfa leafcutting bee). RNAcentral's name for it is "whirlin, transcript variant X5". Lineage: Eukaryota; Metazoa; Arthropoda; Insecta; Hymenoptera; Megachilidae. The record is from RNAcentral.